UCUACCUUGUGCAAAAUCAGAAGAGGGUCAAGUAAAGAAGAAGCCGAGUUCCUUCAUCUACAAAACUUGUUUGAGGGCUUCUUUCUCUUUACUCUAUUUGUUUAUAUUGUUAUAUCUGCCUGUUUAAGAAGCUUGUAUUUGUUUUAAACUCUUGUUCUAAUAUCUUGUAACUUGAUUCAAUCAAGGGAUUGAAUCAAGGGGUUAAGGUUUGUUGGUGAGCCAAAGGAAAAACCAACGGUGUAAGGUUGUGGUUGGUGAACCGGGAAAAAACCAACUGGGUUUGAUUGUGAACCCGGAAAAACAAUCGGUUGGUUCUAGUCGGUGAGCCUGUGAAAACCGACCAAGUUCGUUGUGAUCUCGUGAAAACAACAAGUUAGGUUGUGAGCUUGUAAAACAACC
Molecule: long non-coding RNA, 399 nt
Filed under: Phoenix dactylifera (date palm)
Lineage: Eukaryota; Viridiplantae; Streptophyta; Magnoliopsida; Arecales; Arecaceae
Description: long non-coding RNA (PDAC_LNC022744)
Source: RNAcentral